AACGAACGCUGGCGGCAGGCCUAACACAUGCAAGUCGAACGAGUAAGAGCCGUAGCAAUACGGAGUUCUGCUAGUGGCGCACGGGUGAGUAACGCGUGGGAACGUGCCUUGGAGUUCGGGAUAACAGUUGGAAACGACUGCUAAAUACCGAAUAUUCCCUCAGGGGAAGAUUAUCGCUCCAAGAUCGGCCCGCGUAAGAUUAGGUAGUUGGUGGGGUAAUGGCCUACCAAGCCUACGAUCUUUAGCUGGUCUGAGAGGACGACCAGCACACUGGAACUGAGACACGGUCCAGACUCCUACGGGAGGCAGCAGUGGGGAAU
This 320-nucleotide ribosomal RNA is filed under the name uncultured bacterium. RNAcentral's name for it is "bacterial SSU rRNA". It matches the Rfam family "Bacterial small subunit ribosomal RNA", at positions 29 to 362 of the family's 1533-position model. The record is from RNAcentral.